GCCCCUGUUGAUGAAUGGUAAAUCAUCCACUUGCGUUUAAAGACGGCCGCGAGAGUUAGGCUCGUGAAAGAGGGAGGUUCGAAUCCUCCCAGGGGCA
Mycena rebaudengoi is the source of this 97-nucleotide non-coding RNA. Lineage: Eukaryota; Fungi; Basidiomycota; Agaricomycetes; Agaricales; Mycenaceae. The record is from the annotation of a GenBank genome assembly.